AGUAGAGAUAGGGUUUCACCAUGUUGGUCAGGCUGGUCUCAAACUCCUGACCUCAGGUGAUCCACCCAC
Molecule: microRNA precursor, 69 nt
Filed under: Gorilla gorilla gorilla (western lowland gorilla)
Lineage: Eukaryota; Metazoa; Chordata; Mammalia; Primates; Hominidae
Description: miRNA (ENSGGOG00000036325.1)
Source: RNAcentral